GAUGCACUGCAGUAAGUAAUCGUUCGCGAUUUUAGUGUUGUUACGGGCGGAAAGUCUUCAUCGCUGGCGCCGGUUUCCUGUUGGCGGAGUGCAUCGGUUGUGUGGAGCUGUGUGGAUCGUCAGUUAUUGUAUCAGAGGUCUUUUUAUUACAACUGCACACUUGUGGAAGAAGCUUCGUUGGUAAUAGUAUUUUUUCUUCAAACACUAAAGGGGUGAGUGAAAGGCUUAAGAAGAAUGGCAUAAAUUGAGAGGGAAGGAAUUUGUAAAUAUAUUUCUGGCGCCUUAUUUCCAAAAAGUUAGUAUUGGCUCGCAUACAACCAAUUACCCUGAAGUGGGUAGAGCUUUCUACUAUGUGUUUAAUGUUGAUUAAGACGCUAAUGAGAGUGAAAUUAUAACUUAAGAAUUCUACUAGAUUUUUUUUAAGUGUUUUUGCCUUUUCCCAGAUAGUUCAGUUAGCAAUUCCUGCAAAUAUAUAAAUGGAAUCUAUGAAUAU
This is a long non-coding RNA of Macrobrachium nipponense, 493 nucleotides long. RefSeq lists it as uncharacterized. The record is from RefSeq and is a predicted model, not a curated record. The transcript is spliced from 3 exons. Lineage: Eukaryota; Metazoa; Arthropoda; Malacostraca; Decapoda; Palaemonidae.